UAAAGAGUGUUGGGAUGUGGAGGAAAAAUGAGAGUGUUGUCGUCGGGGUGGUGAAGGGUGGGGUUUUUGUGGCCGUGGUAAGGUUUAAGUAAAGCAAUGUGAAGCAACCACUCCUAUGCAUUUGAUGAUGCGAUAUGGACCAUAAUAUUUUCGAAUGAGUUUGUGGUGAGGCUUGGAAGAGAGGGAAAAUUGUUGGUAUGCUUUUCGUCGUAGUGGCACCCAAUUGUUAAUGUUGAAGACGUAGUCGUGAUUUGUUUGCAAUUUGGGCCAUGCGAUGUUGAGUGUGAGCGAGGGUGGUCUUCAAAUGGUGCAUUAUCUAUGUGCACUCUUGUAAGGUAGUGGCGAGAGCUGGUUCUGUUGUCGUGCUCGAAAUGUAGUCUGAUAUGGAAGGUGGAGGUCGCCCAUAAAGCGCUUGGAAAGGUGUAGUAUUGAUUGCGGUAUGGUAGGACGAGUUAUACCAAAACUCAACAAGGUGUAAGUACUUGUACCAUGUCCUCGGAUGGUCACUUGCGAAGGUAAAUUUCUAAUCCUCUAUUUAUGACUUCCGUUUGACCAUCUGUUUGAGGAUGAUAGGCGGUGCUAAAUUUGAGUUUGGUGCCUUGUAGGUGAAAAUGUUGCUUCCAAAAAAUUACUGAGUAAGAGUGAGUCUCUAUCGAAGAUGAUGGAUUUGGGAAUGUCGUGCAACCUACAAAUCUCAACAGAAAACGGUUAGCCAAUUGGGAUACGGUGAAGGAGGUGGGUAAUGCUAUGAGGUGGACAGAUUUGGACAAAAGAUCACAUAUGACCCAUAUCACCGUGUGGCUAAAUGUGUUAUGAAAUCUGUGGUGAGCUCAUCCCAAAUUUGGGUUGGUGAGGGAUUGGGUUGUAAAAGACCUAAGGGUUUGUUGUUGACUUGUUUAUUUUUUUUGGCAAGGGAGACAUUGUUUGAUGAACGAUUUGACAUCUCUAUACAUCCCUGGCCAAUAUAAGGACGCGGCUAGGCGAGCCACAAUGGCUUUAAGGCCCGAGUGUCCAACAGAGGGGGUGGCAUGGAACUAGUGAAGUAUGGUGGUGUGCAGAGAUUAUAUGGAUGUUAGAUAUAGUCUUCGGUCGAGAUACAAAAGAUCGUUUUGAAAGGUAUAUUCUUUGUUUUGAGAAGCUGUAACUUUGUGUACUUCUUGUUUCCCCAAUUUUGACUGGUAAUAUUUUUUUAAUUGCAAGAGGAUUUCUAGGAUUGGGGAGGAGAUGGCCAAAAAAAUAGAAGUGGGUGACCGAGAGAGGAAAUAAACUGCUUGAUUGUGGCGGUCUGGGCGGUACAAAAUAUAAAAAAUGUAACCAAUGAGUUUGGUGGCCAUUUUUGUUGCUCUAGAGUAGAACAUGCCUUGGUAAGUAACCCCUUAAGACUUCUGUGAGAAUUUGGAAAUGAUUGUCAAUUAGGUAGUGUCUCCAUUUUUUUAUUGCCUUAGUGAUUGCGAGCAUUUCUUUGACAUGCACUAAAUUAUAAUGUAUUUUGGAACAUAGCUUCUUGCUGAAGAAAGCAAUGGGAUGACCAGCUUGGGAGAGAACUGUGCCAAUGACAGAAUUGGAGGCAUCUUUUUCAACCACAAACGAAAGAGAAAAAUCUAGAAGAUGUAGAACAAAGAGUGUAGUUAGGAAUUUCUUAAAUUGUAAAAAGGUCUUUUGUGCCUCUUCAUUCCAUGUAAAAACUUUGAAUUUUAGUAAAUCCGUGAAUGGAGGGGCAAGAAUGGCAUAACCGUGUAUAAAUUUGUGAUAAAACUCGGUAAUUCCCAAAAAAACGCGGAGAGUGGUGAGAGAGGUAGGUUUGGGCCAAAGAAGUAUGGCCUGAAUCUUGUCUGGGUCAGGAGCAACAGUCCCUGCUUGAAUGAUAUGGCCCAAAUAGAAAACCCUAGACGUUGCAAACAUGCACUUAGAUUCUUUGACAAAAAAUUGUUGUCUUGAAGUAAUUAGAGAGUAAUGGUAAGGUGUUGGAUAUGCUCUGACAUGGAUUUACUGUAGAUAAGGAUGUCAUAAAUAAACUAGCACAAAUUGUCUUAGAUGCGGUCUUAGGAGGUCGUUCAUGGCCGCUUGAAA
RNAcentral lists this long non-coding RNA (2070 nucleotides) under Phaseolus vulgaris (common bean). RNAcentral's name for it is "long non-coding RNA (PVUL_LNC002612)". The record is from RNAcentral. Lineage: Eukaryota; Viridiplantae; Streptophyta; Magnoliopsida; Fabales; Fabaceae.